AAAGUUUUGAAGGCGGCACUCCCAUGACUUAAGCAGAGUACUUGAACAGUUGGUUCAGAAUCAUGAGGACGAGGAAGAGGAAGUCCAGUUGGCUGUUGUUGAGGCAUUGAUACUGCCUCCAGGCACUAUACAGUUUGAUUCACUGACUAAACCAACAUGGUGCAGAGGACUAUUAAACAUUUGACAGCCUCAGAUGUCAAGAAACUUAGUAACUAUAUCACAAAGCGUAUAGUGGGGAAGGAUGACCAAGAAGGGAUGUUUUGCUGAAGUCCUGGCUCUCUUAUUAAUGAAUCCAAAGAUAAAGGAAGACGUCCCCUGGAAGACAGAACAACUGAAAACGCUGAUUAAAGCACUCUGGUGUCACAGAAAAAGAAGACCAGUUAUCUCAGAAAUACCCUGAUGCAGGGACUCUAUCAAGAAUUACAGAGGGCUCCAUCUGCUUUGGCAUUUUGAAACCAAUGGUUGAUUUCACUCACAAGGAAAUAGAGGCUUGCACUGAAGACAAUGGAUUGAUCAGUCCACAGAGCAAAGAACUAUGGGAUAAUGUCAAGAAGAAAAUUGCCAUAUUAAAUUCUAAACAAGCAAAUGGCCAAAAAAUAGUAAUCAGGUUCUGAAGGUGCUGUAUUAUGCCAUGACUUUCUACAUCAUGCAAGAUUUCAUUGGAGCAAGUAAGCUUCUGGAAAAGCUUGAUGAAUGCCUCGAUGUAGCACAGAAGCAGGAUCUAAACAAGUCACAAAGGA
Molecule: long non-coding RNA, 740 nt
Organism: Penaeus monodon (black tiger shrimp)
Lineage: Eukaryota; Metazoa; Arthropoda; Malacostraca; Decapoda; Penaeidae
Exons: 5
Source: RefSeq, a predicted model, not a curated record